This is a long non-coding RNA of Nilaparvata lugens (brown planthopper), 251 nucleotides long. RefSeq lists it as uncharacterized. NCBI's taxonomy places the organism in Eukaryota, Metazoa, Arthropoda, Insecta, Hemiptera, Delphacidae. The record is from RefSeq and is a predicted model, not a curated record. The transcript has 3 exons.
CUUGAGUUCAUUUCUCAAAAUUAUUAGAAAAACUCAUCAACAAUCAUGGAAGGUCGUACCGUUCUUUUCAUUUCACUGGUUCUUUGCUCUCUACUGGUUCAAAUAAAUUGUUCAAUCUCUUGAAAGACACGGCUUGGUCUAGUAGCAGCAUUGGCCUCCAAGCAAUAUCAUCGGAAGUUCAGGAUAAAUAACCUGAGUGCAUCGAGAUCGGGUGUGGAACAUGACCUAUCGGCACGCCAAGUGCCGAACCC